GGCGCGACGUAGACUAUGUCGUAGAUAGGCCGGAGGUGGAAGUGCAGUAAUGUAUGGAGCUGACCGGUACUAAUCCGCCGAGGGCUUGACCUU
This 93-nucleotide ribosomal RNA is filed under the name Candidatus Evtepia faecavium. RNAcentral's name for it is "partial 23S ribosomal RNA". It matches the Rfam family "Bacterial large subunit ribosomal RNA", at positions 2832 to 2925 of the family's 2925-position model. Lineage: Bacteria; Bacillati; Bacillota; Clostridia; Eubacteriales. The record is from RNAcentral.